UAGUACGAGAGGACCGGAGUGGACGCAUCACUGGUGUUCGGGUUGUCAUGCCAAUGGCACUGCCCGGUAGCUAAAUGCGGAAGAGAUAAGUGCUGAAAGCAUCUAAGCACGAAACUUGCCCCGAGAUGAGUUCUCCCUGACUCCUUGAGAGUCCUGAAGGAACGUUGAAGACGACGACGUUGAUAGGCCGGGUGUGUAAGCGCAGCGAUGCGUUGAGCUAACCGGUACUAAUGAACCGUGAGGCUUAACCUUACAACGCCGAAG
This 264-nucleotide ribosomal RNA is filed under the name Escherichia coli. RNAcentral's name for it is "partial 23S ribosomal RNA". It matches the Rfam family "Bacterial large subunit ribosomal RNA", at positions 2679 to 2925 of the family's 2925-position model. Lineage: Bacteria; Pseudomonadati; Pseudomonadota; Gammaproteobacteria; Enterobacterales; Enterobacteriaceae. The record is from RNAcentral.